GACAGAGGGUGCAAGCGUUGUUCGGAAUCAUUGGGCGUAAAGCGCGCGUAGGCGGCUUUGUAAGUUAGAGGUGAAAGCCCGGGGCUCAACUCCGGAACUGCCUUUAAGACUGCAUCGCUUGAAUCCGGGAGAGGUGAGUGGAAUUCCGAGUGUAGAGGUGAAAUUCGUAGAUAUUCGGAAGAACACCGGUGGCGAAGGCGGCUCACUGGCCCGGAACUGACGCUGAGGCACGAAAGCGUGGGGAGCAAACAGG
Molecule: ribosomal RNA, 253 nt
Filed under: uncultured bacterium
Lineage: Bacteria
Description: partial 16S ribosomal RNA
Rfam family: Bacterial small subunit ribosomal RNA
Source: RNAcentral